This is a long non-coding RNA of Brassica oleracea var. oleracea, 521 nucleotides long. RefSeq lists it as uncharacterized. Lineage: Eukaryota; Viridiplantae; Streptophyta; Magnoliopsida; Brassicales; Brassicaceae. The transcript has 3 exons. The record is from RefSeq and is a predicted model, not a curated record.
CUGAAGCCGAAGUCCAUAGUGUAACCCGCACCGAAGUAUCGGUUUUGGAUCGGUAGCGGACCCAAAGAAAAUACCGAUUGGACUUUAAAGCCCACAAAUUUCGGCUAUGGUCCGGUCCGGUUUCAAACCGAGAUCAAGACAAGAAAACUCAUCGGUCUCUUCUCUUUCAUGCGUGAGGCGAGCGGCGUGAGGCGAGCGGCGUGAGGCGUGAUUCACGAACCCUAGUUCCAAAAAAAAACUCUUCGGUUACUGAUCAUCGUCAUUAAGAAUCUCAAACUGGCCUAUAUAAAUGUCUUACCGUCUCCAUCUUCUUCUUCUUCACACGAGCAAUCGAGAAUCCAAUCAGAGAUGGACUCAACAUCAUCAUUUGGCCGAGACAAAGAUGAUGCUGGAAACAUUCAAGCUCCCAAUACUACCCAGACAAGGAAAGAGUCAGAGAGAGCUAGUGGAGCGACAAGCAAAGUGAAGCGUAUUCUCCCUCCAAGAUCCGACGUUUGGCAGCACUACACAAGGACUACAGA